This is a long non-coding RNA of Trachemys scripta elegans, 1573 nucleotides long. RefSeq lists it as uncharacterized. The transcript has 3 exons. The record is from RefSeq and is a predicted model, not a curated record. NCBI's taxonomy places the organism in Eukaryota, Metazoa, Chordata, Testudines, Emydidae.
UUGUUUUCUUGUGCAUUGCAACUUGAUGUUCCUGUUUAAAAUGUUCUGUGUAAAUUAAUUCUGUUUUGUGUGUGAAUGAGGAAUGUGUGUGUAAAGAGAUAAGUGUGAAGGCCAUCGCUGAGCCAGAUGUAUGAGGGAGGAACCAGAGACAGAUGCAAGGGCACCAGGAGGCUGCAACACGCCCAUGUUGAAAUGUCAGAGGAGGGCAGAUUGAUUACUUUAAAGAUGAGACAGGCACCUAUCAAUAGUGACACGAUAGCUGUGAUAAAGAAUGAGAAGGACAAUUUAAGAAAACAAGCACUUGUCAAACAACAAUUGAUUACAGCAUGAUGGAGCAAAACUCAUUGGUCCCAAUGAAGGAAAAUCACUAUCUAAAUAGGGUGCCUUGCCAUGAAAUUUUGAGUUUAUCCUGCCAAGACUUCCCCGGAUCAUUGUAUCAUGACCGAAGGAACCCGGCUCCUCCCUACCCAUGAUCAACCUAGCUGGCCACUAGUCUGGACUGGAAAAAAUCCCUACAUUUUUCUAGAAGAUGAAACAGAGGUGAAGAAUGGCUCAGUGAUGAGAAUGCUAGCCUGUGACUUUGGAUACAGUUGGGCAGAGAGGACAUAUGAUGGAGCAACCUGCUACUGGAUGAGGAAUGAAUAUUCUUGACAAAUGCAGGGUGGACACAAAGCCCAUCUCCUGGAUUAUUUUACAGAUAUGUUAUCAGAGAGGUGUCUCUUUUAUACUUUGACACCGCAUGGUUUUUAUAGUUUAUCAUUCCAAAAAAAAGUGUCAUUGAUUUGUUCUCAUCUAAGUACCUUUAUGCACAGAGUUAUUGUAACUUAGGUACGUGCACCUCCAGUGGCCAUGAGUCCUCUAUGCAGAUAUUCAUUUCAGUAAUGAUUAUGAUUUUAUAUUGUCACCAAUUAUGCUACAGUAGAUUAAACCAGAUUUGCCACCAUAACAUCAGGAAGAGAGGUCUAAAUUUACCUAUUGUAGCUCAACUCAUCUUAUGAAAACAGUGAACAUAACAUUUCUCCUCUUCCCCUCUUUCCUGGAGAAUACUGAAAGUCUUCUAUUAAUCUGACUCCAAUAGUAUUUUGAAAUACUCUUUUAUCACACCAUCCUUGUUUAGAGGAGUUAGAAAGGGAACAUGUUAAUGUUUAAUGUACUAAUGCUUUUAAUAUGCUUAAAAUGUCUGUGAAACCAAUUAGUUUUUUGCUUUAAAUACAUCCCAUUACCAUUAACCUUCUACAUUUUUUUUUUGUGAUCCAAGUAAAUUCUUUGGCAGCCAUGGGCACAGAGGCCACAAUUAUCACAUGUGGACUGUAGUUCAUUUAUAAAAGCAUUACAGCAUUAUAUAAGCAUUAAAGCCUUCUCCUUACUCUGUAUAUUAAAUGAGGGAAGUCUAUGCCCUUAGAUAAAGAUAUGGGAAAGCUCCUUACUUUGCUUAUUAAUUAUAGGGAAAAUCCUUUCCACUACUCCCUGUAUCAAGUCUAUUUACUACUAGCUGGGCUAAGUUCAGAGUUAUCCCACAGUGGCUCAGGAGAGGGUUUUGUUUUGUUUUUCUUUAUUCCCAAACUUCAUAACA